AUAGGAGUCAUCAAAUCGUGAAAGACAAUAGUGGGUCUGUCAUGUACAGAAUCUGAAUGCUAUUGAAUUUCCUUAAAUUAUCAAUUUUCUUAAAUUCAAUGAAUCGAGGUUUAGAGCUCCCACUAAUUGCACCAUCCUCAAUAAACCGUGUUGUUUUAGUUUCUACAAUCUUUAUAGGAAGUGAUAGACAGUAAAAUUUAUACCCUUUCGACCUUUCCGAAUAACCAACAAAAUAUCCUGAUAUAGUUUGAGGGUCCAAUUUCUUUAUUUGUGGGUCAUACA
RNAcentral lists this long non-coding RNA (282 nucleotides) under Ananas comosus (pineapple). RNAcentral describes it as "long non-coding RNA (ACOM_LNC008915)". The record is from RNAcentral. Lineage: Eukaryota; Viridiplantae; Streptophyta; Magnoliopsida; Poales; Bromeliaceae.